UGACAGCACGGGCGGCUCCGGCACGCUUUGCCUCGCUGUGUUCCGGUGCCGUGCUGCUGCGGGAGGACGGGGCCAGCGCUCCAAAGGCCAGAGCAGAGCGCUGGCGAAUGGGAGGCGAGGAAGGCUUGGGCUAAGGAUGGAUUGAAACCGGGCUGCCUGUUUCCGGGUGUUUUGAUCCUGACGUCGCCAAAGCCUCAGGUUUGCUGAACUGGGGCUCUUACCUGUGUGACCCGUGAAAUGUCCCGGAAGCUGAUCGAUGUCUUCCUGCUCCCGCUGUGUUCAUUUGGGCUGUGCUUCAGGCUUCUCUCCCGGGGCCCUUACCGUUGCUGUAUCUCUUGGAUGCCAUGCAGAACGGAAUCAGGCAGCCAAGCCUCAUGUUCACCUUCUCCCUCACCCUCUGCGCUGCUCGUGUGGCACAGCAGAUCCUGAAGCCAGAGGAGCACGUGUACAUAAGGGUAAAGAGAUUCCUUCUGUCGCACCGGUGUUUGGACCUGAGGAAGGUACCGGGUUUUCUCCAGCUUUUCUACAGUUUUGAUUUUGAGAAAACAGAGCAUGAGUGGAUCCUCAGAUUUCUUGGGAAGGGCUGCGUGACAAACAUUGCUGUGAGCUUUAUGUCUACCAGAGGAUUUUCCGGGUCAUUCUUGCCUUUCUCAGCAGUCCUUUGUGUGACCAGGGCUCCCAGAGUCGUAUUCUGGAGAUAUGACAGAGUGCUGCCCGUGUCACCUCUAGAGCUGCCCAUGAGCUGAUAGAGGAUCACAGCCUCCUCUUGUGGGUCCUGCACAGCUUAGAGAAAAGGUAACCAGCCAAGUACGGGAGACAUGGGGACAAUUUCCUGUCCACGGCUGAAGAAUGACGUGGCUGAGGAUGAAAGCAAGGGGGACAGACCUGGAGACGGGGGCACCGAGGGCUGCACUGGCAGAACUUGCUGAACUCUGAGGUGUCCCUUGUGUUUUUGAGAAGAGAAUCAAGAGGCUUUCAGGUGGUGGUAGGAGGGACGAUGGUGGGGGGGCUGUGUGAUUUGGGAAUCACUUCCUUGACAAAGCAAAAGGACACCUUGUGCUGGUGUCUUUAGCUUUUAAAUUUCAAGCAGCCUCAGUUCCCAUCCUGUCACAGGACCUGCUGCACAGGAAGUGGCACAGUAAUGGAUUUGAGCUGUCUAGAACGUUAUUUCUCCUCCCCUUGCCUCUCCCUGACAAAAAAAAAUCUCUUCUGCAAGCACAGAGUGCCCUGACAGGUUCAGGCAAGUGCACCAAAAGUGCCCUAGAAUAUGGUCCCCCGUAGGAGAUGGACCAGCUGCUGGUUUCUGGAGAACAAGGUGAUAAAUAAAAUUAUUUCCUUACUCCAUCCUCUCUGGCUAAUAAAUUUAGGAGACAAGAGAGAAAACAGGAAUCGGUCCCAGAUGCUGCUGUUGAGAUGGGUAUAUGAUCUACCUGUAUAUAGAUAUAUGCGUAUCUAUGUAUAUCUGUGUAGUGAUAAUAAUGGGAGUUUUUAUGAUACGUUGCUUCACCGUUUUAUAUUUUUAAUAAAGUGUGAUUUUAAGUUAUUAGUUAUGAUAUUUUAUUAUAGUUAUUGGCUAAAGUAACAUUUUCUUGUAUUUUAUUGGUAUCAAGUAAUUAAUGUUAAUCAUUAAUUGGUAAGAGUUUGUAAUGAAUUAUUAAGCUAUGAAUAUUGUUCAUUAAGGUACGUCUUUUUUAACUGUAGGUAUUUUCAUGUGUUUAUAUGGGUUUUUAUGUUAAUGAUUUGGGGUUUUUAUGUUAUGAAUAUAUUAGUAUUUUAUUAGGUUUUUCUUGUUAGUUUAGUUGUUU
Molecule: long non-coding RNA, 1805 nt
Organism: Vidua chalybeata
Lineage: Eukaryota; Metazoa; Chordata; Aves; Passeriformes; Viduidae
Exons: 6
Source: RefSeq, a predicted model, not a curated record